ACUUAAAUUGAAGAGUUUGAUCAUGGCUCAGAUUGAACGCUGGCGGCAGGCCUAACACAUGCAAGUCGAGCGGUAACACAGAGAGCUUGCUCUCGGGUGACGAGCGGCGGACGGGUGAGUAAUGUCUGGGAAACUGCCUGAUGGAGGGGGAUAACUACUGGAAACGGUAGCUAAUACCGCAUAACGUCGCAAGACCAAAGUGGGGGACCUUCGGGCCUCAUGCCAUCAGAUGUGCCCAGAUGGGAUUAGCUAGUAGGUGGGGUAAUGGCUCACCUAGGCGACGAUCCCUAGCUGGUCUGAGAGGAUGACCAGCCACACUGGAACUGAGACACGGUCCAGACUCCUACGGGAGGCAGCAGUGGGGAAUAUUGCACAAUGGGCGCAAGCCUGAUGCAGCCAUGCCGCGUGUAUGAAGAAGGCCUUCGGGUUGUAAAGUACUUUCAGCGAGGAGGAAGGCAUUAAGGUUAAUAACCUUGGUGAUUGACGUUACUCGCAGAAGAAGCACCGGCUAACUCCGUGCCAGCAGCCGCGGUAAUACGGAGGGUGCAAGCGUUAAUCGGAAUUACUGGGCGUAAAGCGCACGCAGGCGGUCUGUCAAGUCGGAUGUGAAAUCCCCGGGCUCAACCUGGGAACUGCAUUCGAAACUGGCAGGCUAGAGUCUUGUAGAGGGGGGUAGAAUUCCAGGUGUAGCGGUGAAAUGCGUAGAGAUCUGGAGGAAUACCGGUGGCGAAGGCGGCCCCCUGGACAAAGACUGACGCUCAGGUGCGAAAGCGUGGGGAGCAAACAGGAUUAGAUACCCUGGUAGUCCACGCCGUAAACGAUGUCGACUUGGAGGUUGUGCCCUUGAGGCGUGGCUUCCGGAGCUAACGCGUUAAGUCGACCGCCUGGGGAGUACGGCCGCAAGGUUAAAACUCAAAUGAAUUGACGGGGGCCCGCACAAGCGGUGGAGCAUGUGGUUUAAUUCGAUGCAACGCGAAGAACCUUACCUACUCUUGACAUCCAGAGAACUUAGCAGAGAUGCUUUGGUGCCUUCGGGAACUCUGAGACAGGUGCUGCAUGGCUGUCGUCAGCUCGUGUUGUGAAAUGUUGGGUUAAGUCCCGCAACGAGCGCAACCCUUAUCCUUUGUUGCCAGCGNCGGGAACUCAAAGGAGACUGCCAGUGAUAAACUGGAGGAAGGUGGGGAUGACGUCAAGUCAUCAUGGCCCUUACGAGUAGGGCUACACACGUGCUACAAUGGCAUAUACAAAGAGAAGCGACCUCGCGAGAGCAAGCGGACCUCAUAAAGUAUGUCGUAGUCCGGAUUGGAGUCUGCAACUCGACUCCAUGAAGUCGGAAUCGCUAGUAAUCGUAGAUCAGAAUGCUACGGUGAAUACGUUCCCGGGCCUUGUACACACCGCCCGUCACACCAUGGGAGUGGGUUGCAAAAGAAGUAGGUAGCUUAACCUUCGGGAGGGCGCUUACCACUUUGUGAUUCAUGACUGGGGUGAAGUCGUAACAAGGUAACCGUAGGGGAACCUGCGGUUGGAUCACCUCCUUACCUUAAAGAA
Molecule: ribosomal RNA, 1548 nt
Filed under: Klebsiella aerogenes
Lineage: Bacteria; Pseudomonadati; Pseudomonadota; Gammaproteobacteria; Enterobacterales; Enterobacteriaceae
Description: bacterial SSU rRNA
Rfam family: Bacterial small subunit ribosomal RNA
Source: RNAcentral